AUUGAACGCUGGCGGCAUGCCUUACACAUGCAAGUCGAACGGUAACAGGUUAAGCUGACGAGUGGCGAACGGGUGAGUAAUAUAUCGGAACGUGCCCAGUCGUGGGGGAUAACGUAGCGAAAGCUACGCUAAUACCGCAUACGAUCUACGGAUGAAAGCGGGGGAUCGCAAGACCUCGCGCGAUUGGAGCGGCCGAUAUCAGAUUAGGUUGUUGGUGAGGUAAAAGCUCACCAAGCCUGCGAUCUGUAGCUGGUCUGAGAAGACGACCAGCCACACUGGAACUGAGACACGGUCCAGCCUCCUACGGGAGGCAGCAGUGGGGAAUUUUGGACAAUGGACGCAAGUCUGAUCCAGCAAUGCCGCGUGCAGGACGAAGGCCUCCGGGUUGUAAACUGCUUUUGUACGGAACGAAACGGUGAGCUCUAAUACAGUUUGCUAAUGACGGUACCGUAAGAAUAAGCACCGGCUAACUACGUGCCAGCCGCCGCAGUAA
RNAcentral lists this ribosomal RNA (493 nucleotides) under uncultured bacterium. RNAcentral's name for it is "partial 16S ribosomal RNA". It matches the Rfam family "Bacterial small subunit ribosomal RNA", at positions 30 to 523 of the family's 1533-position model. The record is from RNAcentral.